Long non-coding RNA from Cotesia glomerata, 398 nucleotides. RefSeq lists it as uncharacterized. The record is from RefSeq and is a predicted model, not a curated record. Lineage: Eukaryota; Metazoa; Arthropoda; Insecta; Hymenoptera; Braconidae. The transcript has 2 exons.
AUUUUAAACAGUAAAAUCGUGAUUUUACUAUUCACCACACGGAGAAAAAAAUAUCGUUAGAAUAAGGAUACGUAUCGUUAUUCUGACUAUACGCCGUAUAGUCAUUUUUUUAGAGAUAUACGCUGUAUAGCCAAUUCAGCUAUACAGCGGAUCAUCAAAAUGACGAUCCAUAUCAUUAUUUUAGCGUUACAUUUAGUUAAUUCAACUAUACAGAUCCUCACGUUAACAAAACAAUUGCCUGUUUUGACGAAACUACAUAUAUUGACAAGAGCUAUACUCUGUAUGCUUAAGUCAAACAAAUGAAUCCUUAAAUCAGCAAUCCGGAUCGUUAUUUUAAGGAAACGUCAUUUGAGGAUACGUUGGAUAGUCAUUUUAACAAUAUUUUUUUUUCCGUGCAG